Molecule: ribosomal RNA, 406 nt
Filed under: Empoulsenia sp. japan260
Lineage: Eukaryota; Metazoa; Arthropoda; Ostracoda; Myodocopida; Cylindroleberididae
Description: partial large subunit ribosomal RNA
Rfam family: Bacterial large subunit ribosomal RNA (bases 284-406)
Source: RNAcentral
UUUUAAUUGGGGACUGGUAUGAAUGGCUGUAUAAAGAAUGUGCUUUAUUUAUUAUAAGUAGUGAAUUUGAUUAUCAAGUAAAAAGGCUUGGAUAUUGUGAAGUGACAAGAAGACCCUAGGAGUUUUAUUAUUUUAUUGAUAUUUUGCUAUGUGUUGUUUAGUUUUAUCAAUUAAAGUGAUUUGGCUGGGGCGGUUGAGAUAUUAACUAUUUUAUGAAAAACACUAUAGGUUGUUUUGGUUUAUAUAAUUAUCCUUGUUGGAAUGUUUUAUAAAUUACCUUAGGGAUAACAGCAUAAUUUCUUUUGAGAGAUCUUAUUGACGAAGAGGUUUGUGACCUCGAUGUUGGAUUUGAAUAACUACAAGGAGUAGCAUUUUUGUAAGUUGGUUUGUUCAACCAUUAAAUCUC